This 774-nucleotide long non-coding RNA is filed under the name Arabidopsis lyrata. Its description in RNAcentral is "long non-coding RNA (ALYR_LNC000860)". The record is from RNAcentral. Lineage: Eukaryota; Viridiplantae; Streptophyta; Magnoliopsida; Brassicales; Brassicaceae.
UGUGAUUCUUGAUGAUCUCAACUAAAAGAUUGUCUCCAGCCACUUCUCGCAUCCUCAUCAACAAUCCAUUAUUUCCUUCAAUAAACCAUCAAAACAAAACAGAGCUUUUCUUUAAUCACCUAAUCAGUCCUUAGUUGCAAUAUAUAACCAUCCAUUGUGCAAUUCUUUCACUAUCUUCUUCAUUCUCAGUUCCUCCUGCAUCAUCAUCAAAAUACAAGCUUUGUUAUUAUGAAACUGUUUUGGUUGUCAGAGAAAAGGUUUUGUCUUUGAAAACUGUUUUGAGGUGGUUCUUUGAAAGCUUGCAUAAUGACUACAUAAACAGCAUAUACAACUCAAUAACCCAAAGCAUUGACUGAAUUGAAAAUGAGAGGUAAGAAACCACAUCACGGAAUUUCACAACAUACAAAUCCAGCAGGAGGAAAUAGUUUGAAAAUUUCAUCACAUCAACUCAUCUUACAGGAGAACAGACUCAAAAUUCACCCUAUCCGCUGUUAAGACCAAAGAUUCCACAAUUUUGUUCCAUUGCAGUAAUCGAUGGAACAAUAGCAAGAACUUACCGAAAUUUUCGAUGUCGUCGAAAGAGAGAGAGAUGUGUUCUUCCCAAUCAAUAGAAUUUUUGCAGAAUCACAGUGAGAGAAUCACAAAUUGAAGUAUAACACAUAAGAGAUUCGUGUAUAAAGCUUCAUACUUGGAAUUGCAGACAGAGAUUAAGGCACACCCUUCACCCAACUGAGAUUUCGCAAUCGGAGAAAUCAGAAAGAGAGAGAGACACGC